UCGGGAAUUUUGGGCAAUGGGCGAAAGCCUGACCCAGCAACGCCGCGUGAAGGAUGAAGUAUUUCGGUAUGUAAACUUCGAAAGAAUAGGAAGAAUAAAUGACGGUACUAUUUAUAAGGUCCGGCUAACUACGUGCCAGCAGCCGCGGUAAUACGUAGGGACCAAGCGUUGUUCGGAUUUACUGGGCGUAAAGGGCGCGUAGGCGGCAAUUCAAGUCAUCUGUGAAAUCUCCGGGCUUAACUCGGAACGGUCAGAUGAUACUGCUUUGCUAGAGUGCAGAAGGGGCAAUCGGAAUUCUUGGUGUAGCGGUGAAAUGCGUAGAGAUCGGGAGGAACAUCCGUGGCGAAGGCGGCCAUCUGGACCAACACUGACGUUGAGGCACGAAAGCGUGGGGAGCAAACAGGAUUAGAUACCCUGGUAGUCCCUGAGCGGGCUGGCAAGGCGCAU
RNAcentral lists this ribosomal RNA (447 nucleotides) under uncultured bacterium. Its description in RNAcentral is "bacterial SSU rRNA". It matches the Rfam family "Bacterial small subunit ribosomal RNA", at positions 355 to 825 of the family's 1533-position model. The record is from RNAcentral.